Molecule: transfer RNA, 67 nt
Filed under: Tituria pyramidata
Lineage: Eukaryota; Metazoa; Arthropoda; Insecta; Hemiptera; Cicadellidae
Description: tRNA-Leu
Source: RNAcentral
AUUGAAUUGGCAGAGUCCAGUGUAUUAAAUUUAGAAUUUAAAAAUAUAAUAAUUAUUAUAUUCAAUA